This 240-nucleotide ribosomal RNA is filed under the name uncultured bacterium. RNAcentral describes it as "partial 16S ribosomal RNA". It matches the Rfam family "Bacterial small subunit ribosomal RNA", at positions 15 to 244 of the family's 1533-position model. The record is from RNAcentral.
GAUCAUGGCUCAGGAUGAACGCUAGCUACAGGCUUAACACAUGCAAGUCGAGGGGCAGCAUGAUUGAAGCUUGCUUCAAUUGAUGGCGACCGGCGCACGGGUGAGUAACACGUAUCCGAACCUGCCGAUAAACUCGGGGAUAGCCUUUCGAAAGAAAGAUUAAUACCCGAUAGUAUAGUAUUUCCGCAUGGUUUCAACUAUUAAAGAAUUUCGGUUAUCGAUGGGGAUGCGUUCCAUUAG